UACGUAGGGGGCUAGCGUUGUCCGGAAUCAUUGGGCGUAAAGCGCGUGUAGGCGGUCCGGUAAGUCCGCUGUGAAAGUCGAGGGCUCAACCCUCGAAUGCCGGUGGAUACUGUCGGGCUUGAGUACGGGAGAGGCGAGUGGAAUUCCUGGUGUAGCGGUGAAAUGCGCAGAUAUCAGGAGGAACACCGAUUGCGAAGGCAGCUCGCUAAGCCAUAACUGACGCUGAUGCACGAAAGCGUGGGGAGCAAACAGG
This 253-nucleotide ribosomal RNA is filed under the name uncultured bacterium. Its description in RNAcentral is "partial 16S ribosomal RNA". It matches the Rfam family "Bacterial small subunit ribosomal RNA", at positions 524 to 776 of the family's 1533-position model. The record is from RNAcentral.